RNAcentral lists this non-coding RNA (48 nucleotides) under Schistosoma mansoni. The record is from RNAcentral. Lineage: Eukaryota; Metazoa; Platyhelminthes; Trematoda; Strigeidida; Schistosomatidae.
AUCCAGUUGAUCAGUCCUAAAUAGGACGAAACGCUCGUCAAACUGGAU